CCUAGUAACGGCGAGUGAAGCGGGAAGAGCUCAAAUUUGAAAUCUGGUGGCCUCAGGUCAUCCGAGUUGUAAUCUAUAGAAGUGUUUUCCGUGCUGGCUCAUGUACAAGUCCCUUGGAACAGGGCGUCAUAGAGGGUGAGAAUCCCGUCCUUGACAUGAACUACCAGUGCUCUGUGAUACAUUUUCAACGAGUCGAGUUGUUUGGGAAUGCAACUCAAAAUGGGUGGUAAAUUCCAUCUAAAGCUAAAUAUUGGCGAGAGACCGAUAGCGAACAAGUACCGUGAGGGAAAGAUGAAAAGCACUUUGGAAAGAGAGUUAAACAGUAUGUGAAAUUGUUAAAAGGGAAACGAUUGAAGUCAGUCGUGCUCUUUGGAUUCAGCCGGUUCUGCCGGUGUACUUCCUUUGAGUGGGGUCAACAUCAGUUUUGAUCGCUGGAUAAAGGCUGGAGGAACGUAGCACCCCCGGGUGAACUUAUAGCCUCCUGUCACAUACAGUGGUUGGGACUGAGGAACGCAGCACGCCUUUAUGGCCAGGAUCCGUCCAUGUACGUGCUUAGGAUGUUGACAUAAUGGCUUUAAACGACCCGUCUUGAAACACGGACCAAGGAGUCUAACAUAUCUGCGAGUAUUUGGGUGUCAAACCCAAGUGCGCAAUGAAAGUGAAUGUAGGAGGGAUCCGCAAGGAGCACCUUCGACCGAUCUGGAUCUUUAGUGAUGGAUUUGAGUAAGAGCAUAUAUGUUGGGACCCGAAAGAUGGUGAACUAUGCCUGAAUAGGGCGAAGCCAGAGGAAACUCUGGUGGAGGC
RNAcentral lists this ribosomal RNA (804 nucleotides) under Filobasidium stepposum. Its description in RNAcentral is "eukaryotic LSU rRNA". It matches the Rfam family "Eukaryotic large subunit ribosomal RNA", at positions 79 to 874 of the family's 3401-position model. Lineage: Eukaryota; Fungi; Basidiomycota; Tremellomycetes; Filobasidiales; Filobasidiaceae. The record is from RNAcentral.